AGCCCCAGGAGGACCACACCCAGCUGGCCAGCACUCGGGCCCUGCAGAGCUGCCCGCGUCUCACUCCCUGUGUCCACUGUGGUGCAAGCUGCCCCACUCGUGCCCAGACCUCACCCAGCCAGUCCAUCUGUCUUGGCUUCCCCGCAGCCCACUCCAAACACGGCUGCCACCUGGUUCCACACCUUGGGUUGUGCUGCCCCUGCUCACGGGCCUGCCAGUGGCUCCCGCUCACACGGCGUGGCCGUGCCGGUGUCCUCUGCACGCUGUGACGUGGAGGACUCUGGGGUACACAGAGGUGACACUGGGUGGCCCCCCGGGCCAGGUGGGAAAGCCCCUCCCACGUUCCAAGUAGCCCCAGGAAGACCACACAGACAGCACGUGGAGACAAGACUGCCUGAGGGGACAGCUGGCCCAGCUCCCCGUCCUCGAUGCUGCUGCGUGAGGCAGCCCCGGAACUGCCCGGCUCGCGAGAUGGUGAGCGGGAGCCCUGUGCCAGGCCACCACGUUUUAGGGUGCUCUGCUACUCAGCACGGUCCCCCCGUCCCCACCUUGCUCUCCAAGACGGGCAGGCACGCUGCCCCUCAGGCCUCGGACGCCCGCCGGACUCCGCCCGGUCCGGAGAGCUGCCACAUGGCAUCGCCCCGUCCUCUUGUCACUUCAUUUGAUCCCCCAUCUGGCGGUUCACUGCCCCAGUGCCUGCAACAGCCAGGGCUGGGCCGGCCGGGCCGGAGCCAGGAGCCCCCUCCGCGUCUCCACGUGGGUGCCGGGGGCCCAAACCUCGCCCCCUCCGCCCCACUCCCUCCACCAGACACCACCCCCACUCUCCAAGACCCCGCGUGUGGCGCAGCAGGCGUCCCGUGCGCGUGCUAGCUGGAGUCCUCGCUGCUGUGCUGCGGAUCCAGCGCCUGCCUAACGCAGCCGGGGAGCGCUUGGGUCCCUGCACCCACGUGGCCUGCCUAACGCAGCCGGGGAGCGCUUGGGUCCCUGCACCCACGUGGCCUGCCUAACGCAGCCGGGGAGCGUUUGGGUCCCUGCACCCACGUGGGAAAACCAGGGGGAAGCUCCUGGCCCAGCCCUGGCGGUGCGGCCAACUGCCGAGUGGACCAGCGGACGGAAGCUGCGACCGAAAAAUACAUCUUAAAACAAAAAUGGGGGCCGGCGCCGCGGCUCACUAGGCUAAUCCUCCGCCUGCGGCGCCGGCACACCGGGUUCUAGUCCCGGUCGGGGCGCCGGAUUCUGUCCCGGUUGCCCCUCUUCCAGGCCAGCUCUCUGCUGUGGCCCGGGAGUGCAGUGGAGGAUGGCCCAAGUGCUUGGGCCCUGCACCCCAUGGGAGACCAGGAGAAGCACCUGGCUCCUGGCUUCGGAUCAGCGCGGUGCGCCGGCCGCGGCGGCCAUUGGAGGGUGAACCAACGGCAAAGGAAGACCUUUCUGUCUGUCUCUCACUGUCCAUCUGCCUGUCAAAAUAAAUAAAUAAAUAAAUAAAUAAAUAAAUAAAUA
RNAcentral lists this long non-coding RNA (1497 nucleotides) under Oryctolagus cuniculus (rabbit). Its description in RNAcentral is "lncRNA (ENSOCUG00000036535.1)". The record is from RNAcentral. Lineage: Eukaryota; Metazoa; Chordata; Mammalia; Lagomorpha; Leporidae.